MicroRNA precursor from Oryctolagus cuniculus (rabbit), 62 nucleotides. Ensembl annotates it as ocu-mir-449b. Its record names the gene ocu-mir-449b. NCBI's taxonomy places the organism in Eukaryota, Metazoa, Chordata, Mammalia, Lagomorpha, Leporidae. The record is from Ensembl.
AGGCAGUGUAAUGUUAGUUGGCUGCUUUGGGUCAAGUCAGCAGCCACAGGUACGCUGCCACU